CAUAAAAAAACAAACUUCCAUUAAUGUGACAAAGAGACGAUGAAGAAAUGAAACGGUAAACCAGGAGUUAGGGGUCAAAUCCAAACAUGGAGGCAUUUAUCAGCUGGAUCCUGGAUGGGAGCAUUAAACCAGCAGCUGUUUAAAACUGAGCAGCUCCUUUGAUCCAGGAGACGUCAUUACAUUUGCAUUCUUCUUCUUUUGUUUUUUGGAUUUUAACAAACAGAUUUCUAAAAUAAACCUGGAAGGAUUGACAUCACAAAAAGCAGCAUAUUUUCCUUCCUGGAGAGCAACCUGCUUCCUUGACAAGUACAAAAGACUCUGCAACGCAGUGUCUGCAAGAUCAUUAAAGCCACUGAUGAGACAAUUUCAGGCCAAGGACUGAUGACUCUGAUGGCAAUGCCUCAAGUGAGUACUCAUGAAUACAUAUUGGCUAUUUACUUCACUGUCAGUGCAACACGAAGCGCACAAAACAACCGCCACAUUCAGGGAAGAGAUCCAGCAAAUGAGAGGAAGAAGAAAAAGAAGAAGAAGAAGAGAUCUGUGAAUUGGGAGAAGAGCCACACUCGCACAGAUCUCUUUAAGGACGUGGAAGAACAUACUAAUUAUCCCCCCCUUUCAAGUCAUCAUGCUGCACAAGGCGUAAUUUGUUUCCCAUUACACCCUGGAUUUAAUCAAGUCAGCCAAACAGAGGGAGGACCAGGGGAGCAGCAGGCGGAGAGACGCGGCAGGGUCACCGGUGAGAGACAAACCCAUCAGCGGAGACCCGGGUUCAUCGAUGAUUCAGUCUGAAUACACGUUUAACCCCUUCAGGCCUGAAUCCACUGGAAUGGACGUUUACAGGCCUUUUUCCUUACUUUCUUCUGGGUUACUAUUACAAAUAUUAGCAGCUUAUUAUUAUCAUACCAUCAUUAUUAUCACUUUUUUCUUAGUUUUAAAAAAAUUGUAUUCAUUUUUAUGUAGCAGAGAUUAGGAAGAAUUUAUAGGCAUACAUUUGCAAGGAGUUGGUAAUUAUUCUGACUAUGUAUGAGUGAGUAUUCAGCCGUAUUCUUAUAGAAGAAUACGGCUGGAUCGAGGCUUACUAAAAGGGCCGAAGGAUUAAAUUGGGUGUUUCCUGUCGACCGCUCGACGGUCAGGUUUUUUCCCACCCCCUGUGUCACGUCAGGAUGGCGAGCUACCGGAUCACCGCAGCUUCGCGGUAGGAUUUAAAUGAACCAAGCUAUUUUUUCAUUCUGGACCUAUUUGCUCUGGAUCAUGGAAAAAAAA
Long non-coding RNA from Xiphophorus couchianus (Monterrey platyfish), 1263 nucleotides. RefSeq lists it as uncharacterized. Lineage: Eukaryota; Metazoa; Chordata; Actinopteri; Cyprinodontiformes; Poeciliidae. The transcript has 2 exons. The record is from RefSeq and is a predicted model, not a curated record.